GUGGUCUGGGGUCCAGCUCCUGGCUUGCAACCUUGCUUGCAGUUUUGUACCAGACAGCUUCACCCGGACCUAAAUUGAACCACCAGUUGCGUCCUUCCAAAGGAUUACUGGGCAGUUACAGGUGUGAGCAUUUUACAGUAGGUUACGCUCAUGUAUAGUACUGCAAACAAUC
Molecule: non-coding RNA, 172 nt
Organism: Spea bombifrons (plains spadefoot toad)
Lineage: Eukaryota; Metazoa; Chordata; Amphibia; Anura; Pelobatidae
Product: small Cajal body-specific RNA 16
Exons: 1
Source: RefSeq, a predicted model, not a curated record